GUGCUCACUUCAGCAGCACGUAUACUAAAAUUGGAAUGAUACAGAGAAGAUUAGCAUGGCUCCUGUGCAAGGAUGACACGCAAAUUCAUGAAGCAUUCCAUAUUUUU
Small nuclear RNA from Pongo abelii (Sumatran orangutan), 107 nucleotides. The record is from Ensembl. Lineage: Eukaryota; Metazoa; Chordata; Mammalia; Primates; Hominidae.